UUGGUAGGUGGUCUGAUUUGUCUGUUGGUGAAAGCCCGGGGCUUAACUCCGGAAGUGCCACAGAAACGGUCAGACUUUGAGUACUGGAGAGGUGAGUGGAAUUCCCGGUGUAGCGGUGAAAUGCGUAGAGAUCGGGAGGAACACCAGAGGCGAAGGCGGCUCACUGGACAGUUACUGACACUCAACAACGAAAGCGUGGGGAGCAAACA
Molecule: ribosomal RNA, 209 nt
Filed under: uncultured bacterium
Lineage: Bacteria
Description: partial 16S ribosomal RNA
Rfam family: Bacterial small subunit ribosomal RNA
Source: RNAcentral